RNAcentral lists this ribosomal RNA (336 nucleotides) under uncultured bacterium. RNAcentral describes it as "bacterial SSU rRNA". It matches the Rfam family "Bacterial small subunit ribosomal RNA", at positions 72 to 422 of the family's 1533-position model. The record is from RNAcentral.
AAGGGUAGCAAUACCUGAGUAAAGUGGCGCACGGGUGAGUAACACGUGACUAACCUACCCUGGAGUGGGGGAUAACUGAGGGAAACCUUAGCUAAUACCGCAUAACACCUACGGGUCAAAGGAGCAAUUCGCUUCAGGAGGGGGUCGCGGCCGAUUAGUUAGUUGGCGGGGUAAUGGCCCACCAAGACAGUGAUCGGUAUCCGGCCUGAGAGGGCGCACGGACACACUGGAACUGAAACACGGUCCAGACUCCUACGGGAGGCAGCAGUGGGGAAUUUUGCGCAAUGGGGGAAACCCUGACGCAGCAACGCCGCGUGGAGGAUGAAGUACUUCGGU